Molecule: long non-coding RNA, 199 nt
Organism: Zophobas morio
Lineage: Eukaryota; Metazoa; Arthropoda; Insecta; Coleoptera; Tenebrionidae
Exons: 3
Source: RefSeq, a predicted model, not a curated record
GUGGAAAUAAAGUAUGUUAGGUGGUAAACGCCGUUACACCUUAAGAGCGUUAAAAGAGCAUAUAGAAAAUAAAUUAAGCAAAUUUAAAAAGCCAACGUUAGCUACCAUGAGCACCGCUGAAGCUACUCUUAGCCCUUUUGAAAGAGUAAAAAUUUUAAAAGAAAAGAAAGUUUCUUCUAAAGAAGGAUCUCAAAGCAGU